ACGGAGGAUCCGAGCGUUAUCCGGAUUUAUUGGGUUUAAAGGGUGCGUAGGCUGGUUUUUAAGUCAGCUGUGAAAUACCGACGCUUACCGUCGGCACUGCAGUUGAAACUGGGAACCUUGAGAGUGCAAGAGGCAUGCGGAAUUCAUGGUGCGGCGGUUGGAGGGACAGAUAUCAGGAGGAACACCGAAUGCGAAAGUACAAAGCUGGGACAUAUCUAACACUAGGUAACGAGAGUGCUGGUAUCAAAAAG
Molecule: ribosomal RNA, 251 nt
Filed under: uncultured prokaryote
Description: partial 16S rRNA
Rfam family: Bacterial small subunit ribosomal RNA
Source: RNAcentral